CAUACACAUCGUCCUCAGUUGAACCCUGCCACGCGCUCUAUUCUAAGGCGCACGUUACAGAUUUGAACUCUUCCUAUCCCCAAUGCCGCCGAUCCAGGGAGAAGCAAGGAUGGGCUCUCGCGCUGAAGACCUACGCGUCUUGUAGGUGACGGAGGUGUCGUCGUCGUCCCCCGCCAGGUCCUGCUUGCGCAGGACUUCCUGCCGGUAGGUUCUGUAGAGCAGGAUGAAGAGGCCGGCCUCGGCGGCCUGGAACAGCGCGUACAGCAGCGGGAACAUGUACAGCCCGCCGAUCAGCUGCGGCGGGAAGGCCAGCUUCAGGAUGGCGGUGCACAGCUGCACGUUCUGGCAGCCGGUCUCCAGGGAGACGGACCGGCGGCUGCUGGGCGGCAGGUCGAAGAGCGUGGCCAGGCCGUACCCGGCCGCGUAGCCCGCCAUGGGCAUGAGCACCGCCACGGCGUACACAGCCGGCGGGAUGGUGGCCAGGAGCUCCGGGCCCAGCAUGACCCCCGUCAUUAUGAAGAGCAUCACCAGGCUAUCAACAUUACAGAAUUCUGAACGACCCCAAAGGCUUUGAUUCACCGUAACUGUGUUUCAGGAGGGACAUAAUGUUGGACAGGUUCCCUCCGGGACAGCAGCCGCACAACAGCACCGCAAUCGCCGCCACGUCGUUCAGCGAGAAUGUGAGCGCCAAGAGGAACGCCACGAGCGGCAUGAUCACGAACUGGCACACCAGCGCCAGCAGGACCCCGAUGGGUCUGCGGAUGUGCUCGCCCAGCUGGCUCAGCUCCACCGUGCAGCCCAGCCCCAGCAUGGUGAAGCACAGGACGAUCCCCACGAACACGUUGAUGCCGUGGCUCAGCGGGGAGUCCCAGAAGGCCACCACGAGAUGCGCCGGGGCAGGGGCCGGACCUGAGGGAUCCCCUGCGAACAAGCGGCCGGCCACGGUAGUCCUGAAAGUGCUGGCCAUAAGAGACACUGGGUUCCUGGUGACGCGUAAUCCUGCGCUGGCGAGGUCCUCUUGGAAGCUCUCUGGCACCGGGGUGACGCUCGUGUCAUUUUCCGUGAAGUUGAAAAAAGAUGGCAAGCUAAUGGGUGAAAGUGUGUCGCUGUUAGUCGCGCUUGAGUUCUCCAUCGUAUUUGGGAUAAAUUCUCUCUCUGGGGAGGCAGGGCGAGUCAGGUGUGUUUCCCCUUUGGGUGCGCGCGCUAGAGUCGUGUCCCCUUAGCGGAGCAUCGUCGCAGUCUGCUGUCACCAAUGGCUGAGGACGUCUCGAGGCUCAAACGUUUGGUUAAUGCGCUGGCAUCUUGGGAAGUGGUCAAGGCUUUAAAACACGUCCGCCUCGAGAGUGUCUGGCGCCGCGGAUUGGUCCUACGCAGACGCGAGCGCGUGUCAGAUGAGUAUAUGGGACGUGGCUGGAGGGGUCUCUGCUUAUCUUCUCUGAGAGGCGCGUGCUGGCGGAUGGAUGCACUCUCGUUCUCCCACGCAGUCCUUUUAUCUGGGCUCGUGCGUGAGGACAACUCGACAUUCUCUCCUUUAUACGCUGCUACUCUAACACAUCCAUUCGCGUUUAUCUUUUUUUUUCUUAAUGGACUGUAAUAUUUUUCUACGGUGAACUUCCCUCUGAUACACUUUUACGAAAUAAUAGCAUUUUCGCAUUUUGAUGCAGUCUUUACCAAGCUGAUGUGCCUGCAAACGCAAAGCAUUGCAUUAUUGGGGUAAAAUUGAUAAAAAUCUAUUUCUGCAAGUUCUAUCACAUUAUUGAAAGCAAACAACGCAAACCCGCCGUGCGCGGCAGUGACGGAGGCGGGGCCUUGCCGGAAAUGUCUACUGGGAGACGCACGGGCCUGAAGUCGCGUGGCGCGCUCGAGAAGGCCGGUAUAAUUGAGGUUUAGCAAUUAUGCCCAGCCAUUUUUUUUGUUUGUUACUCAGACAAUGCUGUCAACGGCAGGGACUCUAGCCUUCAGCACAGUUUGCAGGUUGGCUCCGUCAUGGCUUCUGAUUUGUAUUUGCUUAAAAAGUCGACAGGUUUUAAAAAAAACUUAUUUACACUUUAAAGGUUUCAUAUUCUGGUCACAUUGCCGACUAGGCGGCUGGUUUCAUCCCAUUAGCUUGGUGCUCUUGUGCUCCGGCGACUGGAGAAAUAGGAAAUCAGCGCACGUUUCAGCGCCUCGGCGCCCCCAGCCCCCCAUACCCCGCUUGAAGCUGAUAAGAAGGACAGGCGCGCCUCUCCGUCAUCCAGAAGGAAGAGGGGCCACUCUGUUAAAUUACAGAAAGGCUUGUAACAGAAAGCGAUUACUCCACACUAUCGAUCCCGCGCGGCAGCGCGGCGAAACGCAACGUCCCCCAGCCCUCGUGGCCGUCCAUCAGUCGCUCCCCCCUUCAUCGAUUUUGCGGACAGCUGGACAAUGUUAUGAUUUAUGGCGCGUUGGAGCUGCGGGAAGGUGUCAUGUUGCUGGUAAAUCACCCGUCUAUAUAAUAAAUUUACAGCAAUGA
Long non-coding RNA from Anguilla rostrata (American eel), 2491 nucleotides. RefSeq lists it as uncharacterized. The transcript is spliced from 4 exons. Lineage: Eukaryota; Metazoa; Chordata; Actinopteri; Anguilliformes; Anguillidae. The record is from RefSeq and is a predicted model, not a curated record.